This 294-nucleotide long non-coding RNA is filed under the name Mytilus galloprovincialis (Mediterranean mussel). Lineage: Eukaryota; Metazoa; Mollusca; Bivalvia; Mytilida; Mytilidae. The record is from RNAcentral.
UGACGAUUGAAUUACUGAAGGGCGAUCCAGCAGUAACAAAGUUAUAUCAGGAGCCACUGGGUAGUCCAUAGCAGCUUAAAGUAAAUUCCGCCAAAAUUACAAGUUGAGUAACUAGUUGCACAACUUGUAAUCCGCCAUAAAAUUUACCGCAUGACAAAUUUAACAGCAAGAAUCAACAUCAAUCAACUUCAACAUCAUUAUCAACUUCGAUGUCAUUAUCAACAUCAUAAUCAAUUUCAACAUCAUUAUCAACUCAACAUCAUUAUCAACUUCAACAUUAUUAUCAACUUCAAU